This 239-nucleotide unclassified non-coding RNA is filed under the name Glomus sp. Its description in RNAcentral is "partial internal transcribed spacer 2". The stretch from base 1 to 71 matches the Rfam family "5.8S ribosomal RNA", at positions 84 to 154 of the family's 154-position model. The record is from RNAcentral. Lineage: Eukaryota; Fungi; Glomeromycota; Glomeromycetes; Glomerales; Glomeraceae.
GUGAAUCAUCGAAUUUUUGAACGCAAAUUGCACUUUCUGGUAAUACGGUGCGUAUGUCUGUUUGAGGCUCAGAUAAAUAAAAAUAGGUGUUAUUACUCUUAAUGGUGCUGCAUAGGAUGUGAGUUGUUUUUACUUUUGGUUUUAAGUGACUUAAAAUUAUGUAAGAUUUCUGAACGUAUUUAAAUUAUUUAAUUAUGUUAUUGAUUUAAGAUAUUAGGUGUGGUUAUACAUAUGCUUUC